AGCAGCUGUCGCCACUGAUUCUGCCCCAAGCAGUAGCUGAGCAGGAGUGAAAACAUGCUGGUGAGAAGAAACUCAGAACAUCAAGUCCUCUCUUGUGCUGUUUCAUCAAAUUUGCAAGUACAGGAGGCAGAAGUUCUGGCCACGUAGCAGAUUACCCAGCGGUGCACCGUCAAGCUUACGGGGUGUGGCGUUCCCAGGGCAAGUGACUGGUUGGCCCCAGGAGGACUGAGAGGAUCAAAACAAACUCUCGUCAGCACGGCAGCUUCCGAGGUGAGCCAGUGUCAAGGAGACGGCCAUCAUUGAGGGCAUCCAGGCUGAGGAAGGACUGAAUAAUCAAGGACAAAUGAAUGUCUACAAGGAAGUGGCUUUUCAAGCAAUGCUGAAUUAUAUUUAUUAGGAUUACAACAAAGAGUAUGAUGGUUAUCAUCAAGCAAACAGAACUCAUCAUUCCACACCUUCUGAUAGUUAAGCAAGAGCUAUUACCUGCCUGUCUGAGAUUCCUGAACAGUGACUGUAAUAGUAUGAUCGCUGAACUGAGAAUCAGAACACCAGAGCUCUGUCAAUAACAGUAACAAGCUCAGCUUUCUUGGGGUCAACUGUUGUCUGGAAGCAGAAGAUAGUCCUCCCGGUGUAUGGUCAGAGGGUCAGGAGUAGCCCUACGCUACGUCCCAGUGCCCACGUCCUUCACCUCACUUCGUCUCAUCGCACAGGCGUGGUAUCCUCUCACCUCAUCGCAAGAAGGGCACAUGGGAAACUGCACUUCUCUGACUACUUGCAAUUGAGUAAGUAAUGUGGUUAUCAGCCUCUGUCCAUCAUAAAACGUGAGUACAAAUGAUACUUAUCACAGCUUGGUGGUAAAAAAAAAAAUGAAAAUGCAUGGUUCCCUAAUUUCUUCUUCUUUCUUAUGUAGUGACCAAGGAGGUUAUGCUUUCAGAUAAAAGAUGCUGGUGGCUUUAUCCCUACCUAAGUUCCUGAGUGAUAGUAUGUAGCAUUCCUCCAUCAUUUUGGGUGGGACACAUGGCAUGACCACAUACUAACUUUUAAUUUGUAUUAAACCAUGAAAUUGGGUGGGAGGAGGAACCGUUUUGUUGGCCAAACCCUAUACUCUUACACGAUUUAGUGCUAAUGGGAAUGAAAUACCUCCCCAAUCCCACAUUUAAGUUCUGGAUAUUGAGAAUGUAUAUAUAUGUAUUUAUGUUUGUGUAAAAGUCACAUGUGCUGUUUCACACCUUCCUAUGUUUUAUUUUCAUGGAACACAUUGAUAUAUAUCAUGUACAAGAUGUUAAUGAUGAUAUUGAAUUAUGUCUUGGAUAUUUGGGGUCUGUUGCUUAGGGGAAUAGAUGCUCUCUGAUGCUAUUUUCUUUUUGGACAUUUUGAGAUUAUAGGGUUAUGCGGUGUCCAGGGAGAGCUUCCCAACUGGCACUUAGAGGAGAUUGAGACUUUUCCAGAGGAAUCUAUAUUAACAGCAUAGGUUUAAGAGCCAUCAGACUAUAGGUAAUAGCUAUUGCAGUAACAGUAUACAAGAGUAUUUAAGAAAACAUGCAGAAUAAAAUUUUUGUGAGAGUUAAGGGAAGGGAAAAGACAGAAAGAAGAGUAUUCUAAAACAAGCUGUUUGAGAAAUGAGAGACAGAGUAUUGCAACUAGAAUAAUACUUAGAAAAAAUGAAGGUUCCUUCCCCUCUUUUUCUGGAUAUGUGAGUCGCUUGAGCUGAUAUUUAAAUGAAAGACAAGGGUUUAGUGGACCUUGUGUGCACUCUCAUGUGCCAGGGUGCUGCCACAGCUCAGAACUGAGUUUUCCUUCCAGGUUUGUUGUGGGAUGAAAGAAGCUUUCUUGCAAAAUUACAUCCAUUCCCACAGGAGAGCCCACAUUCCAUGACUGGUUGAUAAAGGGGUACAAAGUUCAACCCUUUGCCUCACUUGAGACAACUUUGAUGGGCCUUCAGCUGUUGAGCUCCUGCAGGAUACGUGGAGGCUUUGCUGCUACUGCUUUGAGGUUUCACUUGUUUCAUCUUGCUUGCUGCAUCCCUUGCAGGGGCUGACCCUCAGAGUAGUCCUUAGGAAGUCUCCUAAGUACAUAUCUCAGGCUGAGACAGACAAGAGAGCAAAUAACAACCGGUAUGACGAAUUGGAACAAGGUUAUACAUUUAGAAGAACAGACAGCAGAAUUGAUUAAUCAAAAGGAUGUAUGCUUAUCUUGCAAUGAAAAAGGCAUGAACAUGUGGAUGGAGGUAAAUGAUGAAAUGGGAACAAUGAGGCUGUUUAUGCCUGAGAGCCUAUUCAUUUUUCUAUGUAGUUGGCUGUCUAUUCUGUUGAGAGGAAAAGGAGUCUUUGAGGUAUGAGCAAUGUUAUAAAUUUUUAAUAUAGUAGGUAUGGAGAAUGCAGAAGAAGGUGACCAGGACAGGUAGAAUGAUUGCUUAGAGCAAUGCUGAGGACAAAAAUGAAGUUGGAAAGAACACAGGACUAUAAAGAGCGGAGAUGUCAAAUGUUGGCUAGAUUAUUUCACAUGAAUUGAUAAUCAGAGUUUCAGCCUUUCAUCUAAAUGCUUGGGACAGUAAUACUAGCCCUUGGAAUUUCAUAGAAUUGCUGUGGUGGUGAAUACAAUAGGUGUGCUAAAGUGAAUUUUAAUAAAUUAUAAUAGCCAAAUGCAUGCCAACAGUUGUUUUAGUCAAUGUAAAGAAAUAUUGACUACAGUUGGGAAAGAAAAUUGAACAAUGUGCAGAGAAUAUGGAAGUGAAAAAUCUUAAGCGUAUUAAUGUAAAACCUGAAAGUCUGUGCUCUGAAGUGUCACUCACUGUUCAACUGCAUAAAACCUCUACCAAGUGAUUGGAAUUUGAAGUUGAUAAGGAGCUUUGUAAGAAUGAUUUAUAACUGGCUACCUUUUGAAAAAGAGGACUCCAGGGUAGAUCAAUGCACUCUAAUAGAACCACUUAUCACUGCACUAAAUGCCAUGAUUAUUCUUGUUAUUUGAUUCCAUUCUUCCUCAGAUCUAGGCAUUCACAUUGUCUCUGAUUGGUCUGUCUUGUCUUGUCCUGAGGCAUAGCUAUGCAAGUCACUGCAGUUUGAAUUUGUUCUCUACUUGUUUUGGUCAUGUUAUUAAAAUUGAUCCAUCAGCCCUGUGUCCUGUUCACUCUCUGGAAACCUCCUGAGGAGGAGGGGCACAGUCAGCAUAUUGGCUCCCUUUGUUACUGAGCUGGGAGGAAGUCUGAAUACAAUGCAUCUUAAAAAAUAUAGAAUAUAAUAAAGCCUUGGCCAUAACUUCUGGCAAGUGGGUUUGGGACUACAAAGUGAAUUAGAAGAUUCUACUUGUUCAUUUGAGAGAAUAACCCUUUGUUUUCUAAUUGGAGAAUGACUGAAGACAAUCAAUUUAAAUGAUAAACAGUUAUUUGCCAGGUAUUAUGCUACUAAUUUUUUUAAAAAGAUUUUAUUUAUUUAUUUGAGAGAGAGGGAGAGCUCAGGUGGCAGGGGUCAGACAGAGAAGCAGGCUUCCUUACUGAACAGGUAGCCGGACGUGGGAUUCCAACUAAGGACCCUGAGAUCAUGACCUGAGGUGAAGGCAGAUGCUUAACCAACUGAGCCACCCAGGCACCCCAUCCUACUAAUUUUAUAUAUGCCAACUUGUUUAAUUCUCUCCACAAACUCAUUAGAUGAAUACUUUCAUUUACUUCUUUUUAGUCCUAUUGCUAAAUGGGUAGCCUAAAUAACAUCAACCCAACAUAGAGGCGUUCUGAUGCUGAAGGCUUUCCUAGGAACCCUAAAGUCAGUGUGACCGAUCAUUACCUCAUAGGUGAUAAACAGCUUAUCUUAACCAUAGACUAUUUGCAAGUGGGAAUCAGAGGCAUGCUUGCUUGUAAAUCCUUACGGAAUUUUUGUUAAAUAUUUCAUUGUCUCCAAUAAGAUUACAUUUUUAAUUUUUAUGAAAAUUUUCGUUUUUGAAAGUUAGUGGCAGGGGAGGAGUGAAGGAACCUCUGAUAGCACUCUUUGAAGAGUUUCAACUGUGCUAGUAUUUGAUACAUUAGGAAUGUGGAGAACGUUUACUGCAUUUCAAAAAAUAAUGCAAAUAAGUUAUCCUUGAUUUAUAGUUACGUAGAAAGCACAACAUAUCUUUCCUGUUUUCUUUUCUCCUAAUGACUCAAGAGUUUUGCAGAUCAUUUUUUUUUUCUUUUAAUUUAGUGAGGUACUUAAUGCUGGACCCAAGAUUCCAUCUGUGCACUGAUUAUAGGUGAGAGGUUUAUGAAGUGAUAGGGAGGGAGGAGGAAGAGAUUUAAUCAGCUCAAAAUAUAGUCUCUUUAUGCCUCCUCUAAAAAUAUUCUGCUAGAUUUGUACUGAUUAAAUAAAAUAUGAAUCAAUUUGCUGUUUAUACAGCUUAAGAGACCAGCAUUAGAGGAUAUUUGUGCUUUUCUUUUUCCUUUGAGGAGAGAAGGACAAAGGAUUAGUAAUCUUUAGAAGAUUUAUUAAAGAAAAGUAAGCCUAGUUAGAUUCUAGCUAAAAUAAAUGCAUUAGCAAAUGCAUGUGUGUGUUUGUGUGUCUGUGUAGCCUGAAUAUCGUUACUUAUUAUUUAGCAAAGGUAAAAUAAAAUAUCUCAUGUCAAAGUUUUUAGGGUUUAAGCAGUAUUCAUUUGUUCAUAACACAAUGACUUCAAUAAAGCUUGAAGUACUUCUUUGGGAGAGAAAGUGACUUAUAAAAUGAUAUGAGUAUCAGGGUGUUCUUCAAUUAUCUGCUGAUAAUACACCGAGUUCAGAAAUGCUAGGUGAAUAGCAUUUUGUUAUAAAGCUAAGGGAGGGGCGCCUGGGUGGCACAGCGGU
Molecule: long non-coding RNA, 4801 nt
Organism: Ailuropoda melanoleuca (giant panda)
Lineage: Eukaryota; Metazoa; Chordata; Mammalia; Carnivora; Ursidae
Exons: 5
Source: RefSeq, a predicted model, not a curated record